UACGUAGGCAGCAAGCGUUGUUCGGAGUUACUGGGCGUAAAGAGUGCGUAGGCGGUGCCCUAAGUCUGUUGUGAAAUCUCCCGGCUUAACUGGGAGGGUGCGGUGGAAACUGGGGUGCUUGAGUGUGGGAGAGGUUAGCGGAAUUCCUGGUGUAGCGGUGAAAUGCGUAGAUAUCAGGAGGAACACCGGCGGUGUAGACGGCUAACUGGACCACGACUGACGCUGAGGCACGAAAGCGUGGGUAGCAAACAGG
RNAcentral lists this ribosomal RNA (253 nucleotides) under uncultured prokaryote. RNAcentral's name for it is "partial 16S ribosomal RNA". It matches the Rfam family "Bacterial small subunit ribosomal RNA", at positions 524 to 776 of the family's 1533-position model. The record is from RNAcentral.